Molecule: ribosomal RNA, 268 nt
Filed under: uncultured bacterium
Lineage: Bacteria
Description: partial 16S ribosomal RNA
Rfam family: Bacterial small subunit ribosomal RNA
Source: RNAcentral
GUCCACGCCGUAAACGAUGAGCGCUAGGUGUUGUGGGUGUUGACCCCCGCAGUGCCGCAGCUAACGCAUUAAGCGCUCCGCCUGGGGAGUACGGCCGCAAGGCUAAAAACUCAAAAGGAAUUGACGGGGGCCCGCACAAGCGGUGGAGCAUGUGGUUUAAUUCGACGCAACGCGCAGAACCUUACCUGGUCUUGACAUCCUGGGAACCUGCCGGAGACGGUGGGGUGCCCGCAAGGGAACCCAGAGACAGGUGCUGCAUGGCUGUCGU